AUGUGUGCGUUGUUUGAGUUAUCCUGCAAGGUUGAUUCUAAUAGCCAUCAGAAGAAUAAUUUUUGUGACUUGCUGCUACAAUUAAUAAUUGUCCCAGUUAAGCACAAAACCCCUACAUUUACUAGUUGCAGUUGGUGCAAAGCACAGUAUCGCCCAAAAUGUGACACCAGUCCACCUGCAGCACCCAGGGGUGGUAAAGAACAUGACAGUCGAGGAAUGGAUGCAAAGAAAGUGUUGUGUCAACACGUGGGCACAAAAAUGGUAAUAAUUGCUUUUAAAGAGCACAAAACCUCAAACAGCAGCUAUCUUCCUUUGCAUUGAGUGAAGAAGAGGAACAUGUAAGUUGAUGGCUACAUUAAUAUACCCAUCCACUCGAUUCAGGGUUGUGGUGGAACUGGAACAAUCCUGGCAAGCAGUGGGUGCAAAGCACUAUCACAGAUAAUGUGACACCAGUCCAUCACAGGACUCACUCACACCACGGCCAAUUUUCACUAAUUUAUUAAUUCAUUAAUUUUAACAUAAUAGAUAUUUAUCAACCUUAACAAAAAUGUCAUAAAACUUGACAAUCCCUUAUCAU
Molecule: long non-coding RNA, 577 nt
Filed under: Lepisosteus oculatus (spotted gar)
Lineage: Eukaryota; Metazoa; Chordata; Actinopteri; Semionotiformes; Lepisosteidae
Description: lncRNA (ENSLOCG00000022050.1)
Source: RNAcentral